GACGGAAGGUGCAAGCGUUGCUCGGAAUCACUUGGGCGUAAAGGGCGCGUAGGCGGCCACGACAAGUCACUUGUGAAAUCUCCGGGCUUAACUCGGAACGGUCAAGUGAUACUGUCGGGCUAGAGUACAGAAGGGGCAACUGGAAUUCUCGGUGUAGCGGUGAAAUGCGUAGAUAUCGAGAGGAACACCUGCGGCGAAGGCGGGUUGCUGGGCUGAUACUGACGCUGAGGCGCGAAAGCUAGGGGAGCGAACAGG
RNAcentral lists this ribosomal RNA (255 nucleotides) under uncultured bacterium. RNAcentral describes it as "partial 16S ribosomal RNA". It matches the Rfam family "Bacterial small subunit ribosomal RNA", at positions 524 to 776 of the family's 1533-position model. The record is from RNAcentral.